This is a long non-coding RNA of Neopsephotus bourkii (Bourke's parrot), 1584 nucleotides long. RefSeq lists it as uncharacterized. The transcript is spliced from 3 exons. The record is from RefSeq and is a predicted model, not a curated record. NCBI's taxonomy places the organism in Eukaryota, Metazoa, Chordata, Aves, Psittaciformes, Psittacidae.
AUCUAUGGAAGCUCAGUGCAGGCAGUAUUAGCAAAGUUCUAGAGAGAUCCAUUACUGGAUAUUUUAAGGAGGACUGUAAAGGGAAAGAAGUGCCUUUCCAGCUGUUUACUGAUCAUCCUGAUUAGGUCCUUGUCUUCUCAUGAUAAUUGCGAUCAGAAAUUGAAGAUGAGUGGAUGCUUCAGUAUUGUCCUUCUGUUCACAAAGAUUUAGUCAGAGGCUGUCUGCCAAUCUGAUAAGACAAUGAGAUGCAGAAGUGUGAGGGAGGAAGAAAAAAGAAAGCAGAAGCUGAAACACCACAGGACCCCUCAAAGGCAACAAAACAGAAGUUAACCCACCGUCUCCCUUCUGAUCUGUCCUUCUGUUCUCGUACAGCUCUCCAGAACAAGGGUGCCUCACACUGUGUAUUUGUAUAGCACUGGGGUACAGUGGGGCUUCAAUUUCUGGUAGGAAUUUUAGGUGCUCUUAUGUAAAUGAUAGCAAAUAAUGUAUUAUUUAAUAUUGAUAUUUUCUAUUAUAUCUUACCGCCAAAUUCCAGGACAUUUGAGAAUAAUGUCAUGAGGUUUCUCACUGUAAAAAAGAAACACAAAACACAGGGUAAGUUAGAGAGCAGAACCCAGCUACUAUUUAAACUUUUGGUCUGGGCACCUUCUAGAAAGGCAGACUGUAUGGAACUAUUUCCAUGCUACAGGAUUAUGGCUGAGAACAUGCCAUAAAUCAUGAUGUUGCAGAUGUGAGUCUGGUAGGUAGUAAAGUUAGCCAAAUGAAAGUCCACCUCCUCCUCAUGUAAAGCAGCGUCCUUUUGGAAGUCAUUAAAAGGUUUGUGAUUUACAGUCAGUUUAUAUAACAUUUAUUGGGUCUUUCAAAUAGAAUUAUAAUAGUGAUGCUUGGAACAGAUUGACUUGCAUGGGACCACAAGUCUUACACUGCCACAAGCUGUUGUUCACCUCUGUGUUAUAAUUCUUUGGAGACAGUUUACUUAAAGUUCUUGAAGCCAACUGUCAUGAGUCUGAGCCCUAGAAGCGAGAGGAAUGCAAAUCCUAGCACAUGAAACUGUGAAAAUAAGGUCACUGUAGGUUUACUAACAGCCACAAUCUAUGAGAUGUCCCAGACUUUUCAGAACCAUAUGUACUGAUUAUUUUUAUAUAUGGAAUUUCUUCCAAGAUCUACCUGGGGCCAGAUUCACUUUGCACCUACCAUUUUUAGGUAAUAUGAAGGACAGCUACAAGAAAGAUGUACAUGUAAAUUAAACACCUGUUAUUUAAACUGAAGGCUGAGUACCUUGAGACAGUGUUGCAAGUACUCUCUGUAUUACAAAUACUGGUUCAUUCUGUAGUACCUAAUUUGAGAGUAUGCCCAUGUUGUAGUGAGAGGUGUGAUGCCUCACAAGCAGGGAUACCUGCCUAGCUUUUAUCUAGCAACUGUGGAGUUGCUGUGACAGCCUGGAUUUCAGAGUGGACUGUUCAAGGGUGACAGUGAUGCAUCCUGUACAGAAACUGAAAGAACAAGCCAUCAGUGAAGUCUAUACUGUUGCAGCUUCAUUGAUUUCUGGUACUCUAGGUAUACUGAAGAUAAUUCAGGUAUGAA